CGCCAGACUCCUACGGGAGGCAGCAGUGGGGAAUAUUGGGCAAUGGGGGAAACCCUGACCCAGCGACGCCGCGUGAGGGAAGAAGGUUUUCGGAUUGUAAACCUCUGUCCUUGGUGACGAUAAUGACGGUAGCCAAGGAGGAAGCCACGGCUAACUACGUGCCAGCAGCCGCGGUAAUACGUAGGUGGCAAGCGUUAUCCGGAUUUACUGGGUGUAAAGGGAGCGUAGACGGCGAUACAAGUCUGAAGUGAAAGCCCGGGGCUCAACCCCGGGACUGCUUUGGAAACUGUGUUGCUGGAGUGCUGGAGAGGCAAGCGGAAUUCCUAGUGUAGCGGUGAAAUGCGUAGAUAUUAGGAAGAACACCAGUGGCGAAGGCGGCUUGCUGGACAGUAACUGACGUUGAGGCUCGAAAGCGUGGGGAGCAAACAGGAUUAGAUACCCCCGUA
RNAcentral lists this ribosomal RNA (446 nucleotides) under uncultured bacterium. Its description in RNAcentral is "bacterial SSU rRNA". It matches the Rfam family "Bacterial small subunit ribosomal RNA", at positions 329 to 792 of the family's 1533-position model. The record is from RNAcentral.